UCAAGCCUGUAGUCGUGCCUGGUAGGCAAAUCCGCCGGGCUGAGAUGAGGGGUGAUAACGAGGGUGCUUGCACCUGAAGUGAGUGAUACCCUGCUUCCAGGAAAAGCCACUAAGCUUCAGCUAUUGACGACCGUACCGCAAACCGACACUGGUGCGCGAGAUGAGUAUUCUAAGGCGCUUGAGAGAACUCAGGAGAAGGAACUCGGCAAAUUGAUACCGUAACUUCGGGAGAAGGUAUGCCCUGAUUAGGUGAACUUGUACAAAGGGAGCCGAAAGGGGUUGCAAAAAAUCGGUGGCUGCGACUGUUUAAUAAAAACACAGCACUCUGCAAACACGAAAGUGGACGUAUAGGGUGUGACGCCUGCCCGGUGCUGGAAGAUUAAAUGAUGGGGUGCAAGCUCUUGAUUGAAGUCCCAGUAAACGGCGGCCGUAACCAUAACGGUCCUAAGGUAGCGAAAUUCCUUGUCGGGUAAGUUCCGACCUGCACGAAUGGCGUAACGAUGGCCACACUGUCUCCUCCUGAGACUCAGCGAAGUUGAAAUGUUUGUGAUGAUGCAAUCUCCCCGCGGAAAGACGGAAAGACCCCAUGAACCUUUACUGUAGCUUUGUAUUGACUUUGAACGGAUCUGUGUAGGAUAGGUGGGAGGCUUUGAAGGGUGGUCGCUAGAUCACCUGGAGCCAACGUUGAAAUACCACCUUGGUGCGUUUGAGGUUCUAACCCAGGUCCCUUAUCGGGAUCGGGGACAGUGCAUGGUAGGCAGUUUGACUGGGGCGGUCUCCUCCCAAAGUGUAACGGAGGAGUUCGAAGGUACGCUAGUUACGGUCGGACAUCGUGACGAUAGUGCAAUGGCAUAAGCGUGCUUAACUGCGAGACUGACAAGUCGAGCAGAUGCGAAAGCAGGACAUAGUGAUCCGGUGGUUCUGUAUGGAAGGGCCAUCGCUCAACGGAUAAAAGGUACUCUGGGGAUAACAGGCUGAUACCGCCCAAGAGUUCAUAUCGACGGCGGUGUUUGGCACCUCGAUGUCGGCUCAUCUCAUCCUGGGGCUGUAGUCGGUCCCAAGGGUAUGGCUGUUCGCCAUUUAAAGAGGUACGUGAGCUGGGUUUAAAACGUCGUGAGACAGUUUUGUCCCUAUCUUCCGUGGGCGCUGCAGAUUUGAGGAAGCCUGCUCCUAGUACGAGAGGACCGGAGUGGACACACCUCUGGUGUAUCGGUUGUCACGCCAGUGGCAUUGCCGAGUAGCUAAGUGUGGAAGAGAUAACCGCUGAAAGCAUCUAAGCGGGAAACUCGUUUCAAGAUGAGAUCUGCCGGGGCCUU
This 1316-nucleotide ribosomal RNA is filed under the name metagenome. RNAcentral's name for it is "bacterial LSU rRNA". It matches the Rfam family "Bacterial large subunit ribosomal RNA", at positions 1512 to 2823 of the family's 2925-position model. The record is from RNAcentral.